Molecule: long non-coding RNA, 128 nt
Organism: Xenia sp. Carnegie-2017
Lineage: Eukaryota; Metazoa; Cnidaria; Anthozoa; Malacalcyonacea; Xeniidae
Exons: 2
Source: RefSeq, a predicted model, not a curated record
CCAAAAUUGUGGGACUACAAUAUUACAAGGCGAAAGUUUUUGUCAUACUUGUGGCCAUGCAGUUACAAAAAAAAAGAUUCCCAUGUGCAGUGUAAUAACAUCCAGUUUUAUAACAACUCUGGCACAUC